GGAUGAUGGGUGUAAGUGUAAAGUUAUAGAAACAUUCUUUUUUGAACUCACUUGACCAAAUACAAAAAGUGUUUAUUCAAAUUGUUGCCCAGCUUCUCAAUAUUACAACUGAACCUCUACUGCUAGUUCUUCAAGGGAAUCACUUGAGCUUUAUUUGUAAUAUUAAUACUAAUACCACUGCCCUGCAAAAAGUUAAUGAAUGCUAUCUAAUGCAUUUCUUUUUUCCAUGAUUACAUAAUAUACUCUUGUGAGUUCUGCUAUGUAGCAUAUAGAAUGUGAAAUUUAUUGCAUGUAUAAGCAGUUUAAAAUACCGGUAUAGAUUUAUAUCACUUCAUACAAAUACAUUGGACAUGUUUAAAUGAGACUCAUCAUUUGUGAAUGAAAACAAGGUUGAGCUACUAGUGAAGUAGUUUUAUACUGCAGUACCUAGUUGAUGUGCUAUUGAAUGUUUUGUGGUAGGUAAUUCCUAUUUUCUGUAGCCAGAAGAGUGCUGCUAAGAAAUUUUAACUUUAAAAACGAAAAAAAAAAGUCACUUUUUUUAAAGAGAUCUCUGGACACGUAAUUUGAACUUGCGAAAAAGUGUAUUAAUAUAUACAUUUGACGAAGAAAACAACUCAUUACAAAAUACAUGAAUAAUAGUUUAGCCUACAGCAAUUCUACUUGGUAUGGUGCACAGCUCACUCCUGCUAAAGUUUUUAAAGGUUACGGUACUUCGCUUUUGUCGUCACAGUCCUCACCGCAAGUGACACUAGCCUGAUGAAACUGGACCAAGGAGUUAUCAGGUUUGUACACACACAUACACUAUAUAGAUUUAGGUCAAUAAUUGUAUGAUUAUUAUCAAACGUAAGCGUAGUUUGUUAGGCUCCAAGUCGUUACAUUACUGCACAAGUAUAAUACUGGCACCUGUAAUAAUAAUCUGAAUAAUUUUCAUAAAUAGAUUCUUUAGUGAAUUCAGUGUUCAAAACUAGAUAUAGAUCAUUUAUGUAUACAUUUUAGCUCUAAACCUUCAGCUCUGCUUUCUUACUUUUGAAGCACUAACAAUGUAUUAGGACUAUUAAGUCAACCACAUUGAUCUUAAAAUAGAACGACAUUGCUAUUGUUUCAUCUAUUUACUUCAGCAUCUUUUUUUUUCAAGUUCCAUUUUAUAGCCCCCCCCCCCCCCCCG
Non-coding RNA from Biomphalaria pfeifferi, 1165 nucleotides. The record is from the annotation of a GenBank genome assembly. NCBI's taxonomy places the organism in Eukaryota, Metazoa, Mollusca, Gastropoda, Planorbidae.